UGUAACAAGGUCUCCGUUGGUGAACCAGCGGAGGGAUCAUUACAAGAAGCCGAAAGGCUACUUCAAACCAUUGCGAACUCGUCCAAGUUGCUUCGGCGGCGCGGCUCCCCCUAACGGGGGCGCCGCAGCCCUGCCUCUCCGGAGGUUCGGGGCGCCCGCCGGAGGUACGAAACUCUGUAUUAUAGUGGCAUCUCUGAGUAAAAAGCAAAUAAGUUAAAACUUUCAACAACGGAUCUCUUGGUUCUGGCAUCGAUGAAGAACGCAGCGAAAUGCGAUAAGUAAUGUGAAUUGCAGAAUUCAGUGAAUCAUCGAAUCUUUGAACGCACAUUGCGCCCGGUAGUACUCUACCGGGCAUGCCUGUUCGAGCGUCAUUUCAACCCUCAAGCCCUGCUUGGUGUUGGGGCCCUACGGCUGCCGUAGGCCCUGAAAGGAAGUGGCGGGCUCGCUACAACUCCGAGCGUAGUAAUUCAUUAUCUCGCUAGGGAGGUUGCGGCGUGCUCCUGCCGUUAAAGACCCAUCUUUAACCAAGGUGACCUCGGAUCAGGUAG
RNAcentral lists this ribosomal RNA (548 nucleotides) under Coniochaeta sp. JK32. RNAcentral's name for it is "eukaryotic LSU rRNA". The stretch from base 218 to 371 matches the Rfam family "5.8S ribosomal RNA". Lineage: Eukaryota; Fungi; Ascomycota; Sordariomycetes; Coniochaetales; Coniochaetaceae. The record is from RNAcentral.